RNAcentral lists this ribosomal RNA (106 nucleotides) under Rhododendron griersonianum. Lineage: Eukaryota; Viridiplantae; Streptophyta; Magnoliopsida; Ericales; Ericaceae. The record is from RNAcentral.
UGCGAUCAUACCAGCACUAAUGCACCGGAUCCCAUCAGAACUCCGCAGUUAAGCGUGCUUGGGCGAGACUAGGAUGGGUGACCCCCUGGGAAGUCCUCGUGUUGCA